GACGGAUGGGGCUAGCGUUGUUCGGAAUUACUGGGCGUAAAGGGCGCGUAGGCGGCCAUUUAAGUUAGACGUGAAAGCCCUGGGCCUAACCUAGGAACUGCGUUUAAUACUGGAUGGCUAGAGUAUGGUAGAGGAAAGCGGAAUUCCUAGUGUAGAGGUGAAAUUCGUAGAUAUUAGGAAGAACACCAGAGGCGAAGGCGGCUUUCUGGACCAUUACUGACGCUGAGGCGCGAAAGCGUGGGGAGCAAACAGG
Molecule: ribosomal RNA, 253 nt
Filed under: uncultured bacterium
Lineage: Bacteria
Description: partial 16S ribosomal RNA
Rfam family: Bacterial small subunit ribosomal RNA
Source: RNAcentral